Ochotona curzoniae (black-lipped pika) is the source of this 580-nucleotide long non-coding RNA. RefSeq lists it as uncharacterized. NCBI's taxonomy places the organism in Eukaryota, Metazoa, Chordata, Mammalia, Lagomorpha, Ochotonidae. The record is from RefSeq and is a predicted model, not a curated record. The transcript has 2 exons.
CACACCCACUGCCUUAAAAGUAAAGGGUUUUUUAAGCUGUCCUCAUAGCUACCUGGAAGUGAGCAGUGUUAUCUUUCUAUUUGUCAGAUUUAAAGGAAAAAAAUGAGGCCUUCACAAAACUAAUGGAAAUUUAUUAUGAAAAAAACUACAUGGAUUGAUUAUUCCAUUUUUCCACAAAGUUUGAGGAAAUCCUCAUGUUAAUAUUUGCUGAAACUGCUUGGUGCAUCAUGUCAUGCAGGCGUUGACUUAUAACAGUUGUCAAUAGUGAUUAGUAGAGACUCAAGACAUGCAAGUCAGUGUGGUGUACCAGUUGCAGUUAGAUUGUGCAGACUAACAUAUAACUCAGAAGUUGGAGGGAAAUGGAAUUUUUACUAGUGUUUUAAAAAGGCAUUUCCUUCUCCAAAGCCUGCUCGAGCCUGAUUUGUGUUUCUAGAAGUCCUCAGAGAGGUGGCUGAGUGGUGAGACUGCAGGCGCAUCUCGGAGAGGUGGCUGCGGUGCAACAUGACUAGAGUUAGCAUUUCCUUCCGCUGCUUGUCUUGAGUUUGUCUAAAGAAUAACAAUCUAGUGGUUAGAAAUAGUA